Molecule: non-coding RNA, 2578 nt
Organism: Arvicanthis niloticus (Nile rat)
Lineage: Eukaryota; Metazoa; Chordata; Mammalia; Rodentia; Muridae
Source: RefSeq, a predicted model, not a curated record
CUUCCUCAGUCCGUGGGCGGGGCUUCGGGUCUCCUCGGGAUCUACCUGUGGACCGCAUGGAAGGUGCGUGAGAGGGCUGUGCUUCCGUAGCUGUGGCGGCUGCAGCAAAGACUCUUGGGAUUGCAACACCAAGAAAACCUGUCUUAUCUGUCAGUGCAAGAAAACUUAAGGACAAUGCAGCUGACUGGCAUAACUUAAUCCUUAAAUGGGACAGCCUGAGUGACAAGGGUUUCACCACGGCGAGCAGUAUUGCCAACCUGAAAGUCAGCUUGCUGAGUAAAGAGAAGGUUGAACUGGAGAGUGGCCCAGCGUCCAGGGAAGAGGAAGACAAGACAAACCGGGACUACGAUGAGGGACUUGAAGCACUAUGUGAGGAGCUGCAGACCAUCUUGGAUGGCUUGACUAAAAUACAAACGAAAAUGGAAAAGCUGUCUUCAACCACCAAGGGAAUUUGUGAACUAGAAAAUUACCACUCCAGAGAAGCAAGCAGCCAGCCCCCUCUGUUUCACACGUGGCCCACAGCCUUCUUCUAUGAGGUCUCCCACCGGCUCUCCGAAGCAUACAAGAAGGAGCUCCUUUUGAAGCGCACCAUUGGUGCAGAGCUGGCCCAUACUGCAGACCGCAACCUCAGCCUGACCUACCUGUCCAUGUGGCUGCACCAGCCCUACAUAGAGAAUGACAGCAAACUACAGCUGGAGAGCAUGCUGCUCGAAACAGGGCACCGGGCCCUGUGACUCCCUGGCCACCUUGCCUGUGACCACGGUUUGGAGCUCCAGACCACUAGCUGGACAGUCACUUGGGUGGAACCUGUUGUGCCUCAAGGCCAGAUCCUUUUAGGGUCCUGAGAUCAGUCUCCCGAUGCUGCAGCCUCUCCAGACACAGGCACUGCUACUCCUGAGACUCUGUCCCGGGUAUCUUGAUGCUCCACUGAGUAACACAAACAAGAAUGGCUGAGGGGCCGAGUUUUGUAAACCAGUGGACUUUAUGGUUUCGUCUGUGGUGACAACCUGAGUUUCCUAUUUCUACCUUGUUCCUAUCUCCUUUUUUGCUGUUGUUUUGUGCUGGAAAUCAAAUCCAGACUUCACAUGAACAAGCUGCAUAUUCAACCACUGGUCCACACUCCAACCCUGUGCUUAAAAUUAGAAGAGAAUGUUUUAGUUCUGAAACUAUCCCAGAAAUAUUAGACAUUUAAAGUUUCACAAGUGGGGACUGAGAAAUGGCUUAGCAGUUGAGAGCACAGGUGGACCUCUGGCCUCCCCUGGCAGUCACACAGAUUUGCACGUGUGCACACGCACAUACACACACACUCUUGGUAAAUUUUAUUUGUACUUUGGUAUCUGUGUACAGGCCACAUGUACAGAUGACCAGGGCAACUAUGCAUGGGAGUGGGACCCUUGGAGCUAGAGUUACAGGACGUUGUCAGCUGCCUGAUCCCAGUGUCAGAAACCAAACUGCAGUCAGUCUCAGGAAGAACGAUUCACGCUUUUAACUGCUGAGCCAUCUCUCCUGGGGCUGGAGAUACAUAUAUUUAAUACAUUGUAUAAAAUAUAUUAAUAAAACAUAUUGAAAUAUAUCUUUUUUAAUCCUGUAGAGUUAACUGAGUAUAGAGUUUAGUGUCACAGAAAUGAAAACCACUUACCAAAAAUUGCUGCUGUUUGCAUGAAAAGACGGACAAACCAAUAAUAAGACCAAUAAUUGAAUACUGUUUAUAUCUGGGGCCUGGAUUGCUGUAUCUGUUUAGCUUUCUCACUGUUAGCCAAGAACUAGCAUCACUGAGAACUGCCUGAGUCACCGGCCCUCAGGACGACCACUGCACUUCCUUUCACUCUUCCUGAUGAGGGGCACACUAAGACCACUGUUCUCAUCGGGGUGGGCACCCUUGGACUACUGCUCCCAACUGUUUGGGAAGGAAUACUCAGACCACAUUGCUCUCUUCUCUGUGUCUGUAUGUGUAUGUAUGGGCACACCUGAGCUACACUGCAUGUGUGCAGGUCAGAGGACAGCUUUGGUUGUAGGUCUUUGCCUUCUGCCUUGACACCAGGCCUCUUGUUCACUGCUGUAAACACCAGGAUGCCUGGCCUACAAGCUUCUGGAUACUCUGUCUCCUUGUAGAUACCACAGGAGUUACAUACACUUGUGCUGGUACUACGCUGGCUUUUCUUGUUUCUAGGGAUCUGCACUCAGAUCAUCAGGUUUGCAUAGUGAAUGCUAUGCCCUCUGCUGCUCCCUUUUCCCAGAGGACAAAAAAGGCCCAGCAUUAAACAUGCAGCUUGUCAAGGUUUAUGCUAGUAACUGGCAACUCCCAAGCUGUAUUUACACAUACACACACACAACCUCAUUUUUUGUUGUUUUUUUAACCCAAGCAGUUGCCUACAAAGUGCUUGGCUCAGAACACAGCUCAAACAUAAGCCAGACAUGUUGUCAGAUUUUUCAGGCCAGUAGAAGUUGUAUCUAACGUCACAUUUGGAACCUGGCUUCUUGCACAAAUACCUGAGAUAGUUUACUAUAGAUUACUUAGCAAGGCAUUGGUGUCAUGCACUGUAGAUCUCAGCACUCAGAGGCAGAGGCAAGCAGAUCU